AGCAUAGUCUAAACCAAUAUUCUGGAAUGC
Molecule: small RNA, 30 nt
Filed under: Bombyx mori (domestic silkworm)
Lineage: Eukaryota; Metazoa; Arthropoda; Insecta; Lepidoptera; Bombycidae
Description: ovarian small RNA-12046
Source: RNAcentral